UACGUAGGUGACAAGCGUUGUCCGGAUUUACUGGGCGUAAAGAGCGCGCAGGCGGUCGUUCAAGUCGAGUGUGAAAGCCCCCGGCUCAACUGGGGAGGGUCACUCGAUACUGAUCGACUCGAAGGCAGGAGAGGGUAGUGGAAUUCCCGGUGUAGUGGUGAAAUGCGUAGAUAUCGGGAGGAACACCAGUGGCGAAGGCGGCCUACUGGGCUGCACCUGACGCUGAGCCGCGAAAGCCAGGGGAGCGAACGGG
This 253-nucleotide ribosomal RNA is filed under the name uncultured bacterium. RNAcentral's name for it is "partial 16S ribosomal RNA". It matches the Rfam family "Bacterial small subunit ribosomal RNA", at positions 524 to 776 of the family's 1533-position model. The record is from RNAcentral.